UACGUAGGGUGCGAGCGUUGUCCGGAAUUAUUGGGCGUAAAGAGCUCGUAGGCGGCCUGUCGCGUCGGUUGUGAAAGCCCGGGGCUUAACCCCGGGUCUGCAGCCGAUACGGGCAGACUAGAGUUCGGCAGGGGAGACUGGAAUUCCUGGUGUAGCGGUGAAAUGCGCAGAUAUCAGGAGGAACACCGGUGGCGAAGGCGGGUCUCUGGGCCGAUACUGACACUGAGGAGCGAAAGCGUGGGGAGCGAACAGG
This 253-nucleotide ribosomal RNA is filed under the name uncultured bacterium. RNAcentral's name for it is "partial 16S ribosomal RNA". It matches the Rfam family "Bacterial small subunit ribosomal RNA", at positions 524 to 776 of the family's 1533-position model. The record is from RNAcentral.